Rhincodon typus (whale shark) is the source of this 2811-nucleotide long non-coding RNA. RefSeq lists it as uncharacterized. The record is from RefSeq and is a predicted model, not a curated record. The transcript is spliced from 3 exons. NCBI's taxonomy places the organism in Eukaryota, Metazoa, Chordata, Chondrichthyes, Orectolobiformes, Rhincodontidae.
CGCGAGACUUCCUGCGAGUUCGAGCCGGUGGCGGAGCGCGAGCGAAGUUGGUUGUGUAUGAGACUUUCCAUGGCAGGCGGAGGUUGCCAACCCUCUAGGAUUGCCCUGGAGUCUUCAGGAAUUAAAGAUUGAUUCCUAGACACUGUCAACCUAUGAGAAGAAUCAAAGAGACAUUGAAAAAAAAGACCUUAGACUGUGUUCUCUUCCCCACUGCGCUUUGGCAGCAACUGCCCCAAGCUUUCGAGUAUCCCUCAGCACAUAGUCCUGUACCUUGGAAUGUGCCAGUCAGCAACAUUUGGUCAAGAUCAACUCCUUGUGCUGGAAGACCAACAAGUUUUGGGCAGACCAAAGAGCAUCUUUCAUUGAGUUGAUGGUAUUCCAGGUGCAGUCGAUGUUUGUCUUGGUGUGCAUCCCAGGGAACAGACCGUAGAGCACAUAGUCCUGCGUCACAGAGCUGCUUGGGAUGACCUUUGACAAAAACCACGUCAUCUCUUUCCAGACCUUUUUUUGCAAAGGAACCUUAAGGAUGUAUGACAGUCUCUUUUACCAGUGUAGCCAUUUUGAGAGCAGCAUGUGGUGGCACAGAGUCUGGGUGUACAUACAGAAUCUGAUGGGUAGUGUCCUGCCCACCACUAGCCAAGCUGUGUCUUGGUGCUGCUUGGAAAGUUCCGGCAAUCGAGCAUUCUGCCAAAUGACUGCUCAGGAAGCCAUGUGACAGGAUCCAUGCUCUCCCUUUCUUGCAGGGUCUCGAGGACACUAUAUGCUCACCGCUGCCAGGUGGACUUGUGGUCAAAAGUGCUUUUCUUUACAAAUUUCUCCACAAAGAACAGGUGAUACAGAAUGGUCCAGCUGCUUGGAGUGUUUUGUAGUGCCAAGGCUAGACCCAUCCUCUGUAACACUGCGGACAGGUAGAACCUCAGUAUGUAGUGUCACUUGGUGUUCGUGUACUGAGGGUCUGCACAGCUUGAUGCAGCCACACACAAAGAUAGCCAUCAGGAUGAGGGCAGUGUUGAGUACGUUUCACCCCCCUGCUCCUGCUCCUGCUCCUGCCCCUGCCCCCCACUUAUCUAGAGCUUUAUACAUGGUAUCCCUGCAGACAUGGUCCAUCUUUGACCUCCAGAUGAAGUGGAAGAUGGCUCGGGUGACUGCAAAAGCCCAGGUUCUGGGAAUGGGCCUGACCUGUGCCAUGUGUAGUAACACAGACAGUACCUUGUGCCUGCUGACCAGGCUUUUACCCACAAUGGAGAGGAAGCGGUGCUCCCAUAAGCCCAGUUUCUGCCUCACCUUGGCAAUUAACUCCCAAGUUUUUUGUGCGUGCCCCAGCCCCUCCAAACCAUAUUCCCAGCACCUUUUGAUAAUCUGUCUUGAUGGCGAAGGGGAUAAUUAUAAAAAUAUUGCAAAUGGUUAAACAUGCUUCUUUACUGAUAGUCAAGAAUCAUCUAACCUGGUGAUGAGGAGUCUGUUCAUUUUUCAGAUAGCAUGGGAAGACUUCAUGCAUCAUCAACCAAUGACUGAGUAUGGGCUUGGUCAUCUAGAGGUCAUGUGAUUAAAUUCUUGGCUACCUCCAACUAAGCCUGUUGGAAAACUUAUUUCCACAAGGGAGAUACAAAUAGAAAGAUAUGUUAAUGAGGUUAAACGAGUGGGAUGGGAGGAAGCUCAUCUGGAGUAUAAACACGAGCAGUUGAGCCAAACAGCCUGUUUCUGUUUUUAAGUUCUCUGAAAAAAAAUAUUUGUGGUACCACUAGUGAUUUGAUCUCCUAUUGUCAUUGCUGUGUCACAAUCCCUGCAUUUGUUUUCUUCUCUAUUCUCUGUAUAUCUAGUUUAAUUUACCUUUGUUCUGAAGUUGUGUUUUUUUUUUUUUUUUUUUUUUGACACCUGGACACUUUGUCCUCUAGAAUCAGAUAGUAAGAACCGCAGAUGCUGGAGAAUCCGAGACAACAAGGUGCAGAGCUGGAUGAACACAGCAGGCCGAGCAGCUGCUUGACCACUUUGUCCUCUAAGUCUGCUGAUUUUUCUCUUGAACCUAAAAGUUGUGAAGGUUGUACCUGGUAGAGCUUUCCAUUAGGGGGCUGUAGAAACCUACGCAACCAUUGCACAGUUCCCCUCAUAACCCUUUGAAUGCUGAAAAGGCAUCACCAUUUUCAAAGGAGAAAUCUAUUUUUGUUUAUUAGGCUGAUUUUCUGUAACAUUGCUUUACCUAGCCGUCUUGCUGUUCUUAUGAUGCCAGCUACCUGUCUUUAAUAGAUCAUAUUUUUGGUUUUAAUUAAGUAGUUUUUCACUGAAAUGUAAGAAUGCAAUGCUGCACAUUUUGCUUUAACAAUAAAACAGAAGUUCAUUAACAAAAGAUAUAGUGAGAAAAUAGAGUAUACCGAGCUAUCUACUUAACACACAUUGUGUCUCUACAGAUGCUGCCAGACCUACUGAGUUUCUCCAAUACUUUGUUUAUAUUUCAGAUUUUCAGCAUUCACAGAUUUGUUUUAUUCAAAUAUUUUUAAACACAAUAAAAGUAUAAUCCUAUUUAAUUCCAAAAUGCUCCCUUGUGCAUUGAAAAGGAAAACAAGAACAUUUAUAUUGCAUUCAAAACACCGCUUAUAUAGUACUCACAUUAGAGUCCCUGUCUCUAACACCUUGGUAAGGUUUAAGUCACUUGUAAUUUUAACUUAUAGACUGAAACUGCAGAUAGCUCCAGGAAAAAGCUAUCAUACACCUGAGCUUAAACAUAUUCAUCUUUAAAUAAUUUCUUUAGGGUUUUAUCCCAACGCUUCUGGAAUAGGACUAACACUAGCUCUUCUUGAAGUAACCUAGUUUCAC